Molecule: ribosomal RNA, 375 nt
Filed under: uncultured Thermus sp.
Lineage: Bacteria; Thermotogati; Deinococcota; Deinococci; Thermales; Thermaceae
Description: bacterial SSU rRNA
Rfam family: Bacterial small subunit ribosomal RNA
Source: RNAcentral
GGGGGUGCCCGCGAGGGGAGCCCUAGCACAGGUGCUGCAUGGCCGUCGUCAGCUCGUGCCGUGAGGUGUUGGGUUAAGUCCCGCAACGAGCGCAACCCCCGCCGUUAGUUGCCAGCGGUUCGGCCGGGCACUCUAACGGGACUGCCCGCGAAAGCGGGAGGAAGGAGGGGACGACGUCUGGUCAGCAUGGCCCUUACGGCCUGGGCGACACACGUGCUACAAUGCCCACUACAAAGCGAUGCCACCCGGCAACGGGGAGCUAAUCGCAAAAAGGUGGGCCCAGUUCGGAUUGGGGUCUGCAACCCGACCCCAUGAAGCCGGAAUCGCUAGUAAUCGCGGAUCAGCCAUGCCGCGGUGAAUACGUUCCCGGGCCUU